Molecule: long non-coding RNA, 249 nt
Organism: Sesamum indicum (sesame)
Lineage: Eukaryota; Viridiplantae; Streptophyta; Magnoliopsida; Lamiales; Pedaliaceae
Source: RefSeq, a predicted model, not a curated record
CACCGAAAAAAACCUAAAACCCAUACCCUCAUUUCAAAUUCUCUCUUCUUCUCAAACUUUGCAACAUUUUUUGUAGUUGAAAAUGGCUUCAAUCAAAGUGGUGUUCUUGGCCACCAUGUUGCUAGUCACUUUGGGUGCUCCGUUAUUUUGCGAAGCAGGAUAUUUUGGAUUAUGCAAAAAGGAUUCUGACUGUAUGGUGGUAGUGCCUGAACGUAAUGACUGUAGAGAAAGAGUUUGCAUUUUUGGGCA